This 429-nucleotide ribosomal RNA is filed under the name bacterium. Its description in RNAcentral is "partial 16S ribosomal RNA". It matches the Rfam family "Bacterial small subunit ribosomal RNA", at positions 355 to 776 of the family's 1533-position model. The record is from RNAcentral.
UAGGGAAUCUUCCACAAUGGACUCAAGUCUGAUGGAGCAACGCCGCGUGAGUGAAGAAGGUUUUCGGAUCGUAAAGCUCUGUUGUUGGUGAAGAAGGAUAGAGGCAGUAACUGGUCUUUAUUUGACGGUAAUCAACCAGAAAGUCACGGCUAACUACGUGCCAGCAGCCGCGGUAAUACGUAGGUGGCAAGCGUUGUCCGGAUUUAUUGGGCGUAAAGCGAGCGCAGGCGGAAUGAUAAGUCUGAUGUGAAAGCCCACGGCUCAACCGUGGAACUGCAUCGGAAACUGUCAUUCUUGAGUGCAGAAGAGGAGAGUGGAAUUCCAUGUGUAGCGGUGGAAUGCGUAGAUAUAUGGAAGAACACCAGUGGCGAAGGCGGCUCUCUGGUCUGCAACUGACGCUGAGGCUCGAAAGCAUGGGUAGCGAACAGG